CUCUAAAGCUAGGCAACUCCCAGCUAGUAAAAGAACACUCGGCCAAAAUCCACAGCAGUAUUAACCAGACUACCCUGCAAAGACGAACAUAUGAAAUUGCACGGGAGACGUUUUUUUUUAAAAAAACUUUUACAGCAGGAUGUCAAAUUCACCUGGAAAACAAACUCGGACAUCGAAAAUCAAGCAGCUCGGGGUCAAUGUGGGAGCUAUACUCCUCCACUUUGGUUGGUCCUCUACGAAUCCAUCCAGGACUCCAGCCUGGUGGUAUCCCAGUCCUAGGAUGUCUCCAAGGAUGUCCUUCUCCUUCAGCUAUGUCUGAAGGACAUUUGUGUAUGUCAACAGUUCCCUGUUGCUGGACUUCUGAGAGCUGACUACAUUGCCACCUGUCUGCUACUGCCUCUUUGAGGGGCUGUCCAGAUGCCACUCCUCCCCCAGUCUGUUAUUGCUCUUCUAAAAGACCUUCUAGGUUUCUUUCCUGUCUACUACUGCUCUUCCAUGAUGUGGAUGUCUAAACUGACACUGUUUGUUGUUUGCUACUUAAAGAAUCUUAAAGUGACACGGGGUCUCUCUUGCUUGCUGCUCAUUGCCAUGUGUUCAGUGGCACAGAGAAUUUCUAGCCACACCUUCCUUUUACCACAGGCUGCCACUCUUCUCUUAAUCUUACCAGGAUCUCUGACUGAGCCUCACACAACGUGGGCAAGUCCCUCAAGAGUCAAUCUUCAAGCCAAGCUGGAGGACUGCCUGACUUAUCUCUGGCUAGUUAAACUUGUACAGUGUCUUCCAGGCCUGGCUCUUAAGCAUAUUCUUUAUCAGCAUCUUCAUCACUAAGAAGUCUGAGACAAUAUAAUGACUACAUGUGAUCCAUGUUUUUUUAUUGUUCAAAGCUACCUUGAAUUUAAGAUCUGUAGCUAUCUGUGUUAUACUUUUCAUUGUGAAAUGCAUCCUUCUUAGGGGUGUCUAUAAAACCUUUUGUUAUUGUAUUUCUUCUUUUAAAUGUUAUUGCUUUUUUAAUCUCUUUACGUUUUAUAUCAAUCAUAAAAUGUUAGUAGAAACACAGAAACUAAAAUAAGACAACUCUGC
Molecule: long non-coding RNA, 1080 nt
Organism: Lepisosteus oculatus (spotted gar)
Lineage: Eukaryota; Metazoa; Chordata; Actinopteri; Semionotiformes; Lepisosteidae
Source: RefSeq, a predicted model, not a curated record